GACGGGACCCGCACAAGCGGUGGAUGAUGUGGAUUAAUUCGAUGCAACGCGAAAACCUUACCUACCCUUGACAUGUCUGGAACCUUGCUGAGAGGCGAGGGUGCCUUCGGGAGCCAGAACACAGGUGCUGCAUGGCUGUCGUCAGCUCGUGUCGUGAGAUGUUGGGUUAAGUCCCGCAACGAGCGCAACCCUUGUCAUUAGUUGCCAUCAUUUAGUUGGGCACUCUAAUGAGACUGCCGGUGACAAACCGGAGGAAGGUGGGGAUGACGUCAAGUCCUCAUGGCCCUUAUGGGUAGGGCUUCACACGUCAUACAAUGGUCGGUACAGAGGGUUGCCAAGCCGCGAGGUGGAGCCAAUCCCUUAAAGCCGAUCGUAGUCCGGAUUGGAGUCUGAAACCCGACUCCAUGAAGGUGGAAUCGCUAGUAAUCGCGCAUCAGCAUGGCGCGGUGAAUACGUUCCCGGGCCUU
This 467-nucleotide ribosomal RNA is filed under the name uncultured Thauera sp. RNAcentral describes it as "bacterial SSU rRNA". It matches the Rfam family "Bacterial small subunit ribosomal RNA", at positions 916 to 1381 of the family's 1533-position model. The record is from RNAcentral. Lineage: Bacteria; Pseudomonadati; Pseudomonadota; Betaproteobacteria; Rhodocyclales; Zoogloeaceae.